CCACCGGGUCGAUAUCUGGCGAACUGUAAUUAGGUGAAAUUUGAAAACAGCGUGCCGAAGUCAUUGGGCCAAGAGGUAUAAAACAUUUUCAAAAUGACCAUGCUUCCGGUUGUACCGGAAGUACAUGCACCACUGGCAACAUUGAUCAAAUUAGACGCUGCAAACAUCACAAACCCUUCCAGAAGGGUUAGUGUAUAUGCUGCUAUCGUGCCGACUCCAUAGUGUUUCAUUGAAGCAAUAUUUUACUGUUUUAUAUUUACGUGGCCUGUUGCAAACAUGGCGCACUCACAUGUUAAAUAUGUACGAAAAAUCAAGAAACAAAGAUGGGGGCGCUCUCAGAUAAUUUAUCAGGCCGACAGCUCCGUGCCGGUGCCGAAGUAUUUGUAAGAAACGAAGAUGAACCGCCUGAAGGAAAGAGGGAAGAAACUGAACAGCACGCCAGUAACACAAAAAAAAGCAAAAAUAGAAAAUCAAAGAAAGUUUCUAUGCAGACAGAAUGGAUAGAUGGAGAUUUGAUUCUUUCGCCAGGCCCUUUUCCUAUAUCCAGAGAGUGUAACGGAUAAAAAUGGGAUUUAGCCAAUGGUUCACCUGUCUGCUAACCCGUUGGUCAAAUGUAUGUAGUAAUAAGUUAUAGUUGUAAUAAGCUAUUUUGUCAAUCGAUUUUCACUUGUAACUUGGAUUUAGUAAGCAUGUUUGUCAGAUUAGGUUAGUAAUAUUUUGGGGAUUAUUUGAAUUUUGAUAUUUGGAUAUUCGUAUCUCUCUCCCAAACAUCAGCAGUCUUUAUCAUGGGUUUGUCUGGCAACGUGGUGGUUGCCCCACCUUCACGGACCACCGUUAUUUAUGGGAAGGGACGAGGAGUGGACCCAGCAGGGUCACCGAGCGAAGGGCAAUCAAGUACCAGAAUUUGCGGAGUCAAGUAGCAGAGAUUGCCGAAAAUAGUCCUCCGAAUCCGCCAAUUGAUCUCCGAAUCCGCCAAUUGACCUCCGAAUCCGCCAUAUUCUGCUGGGUGGUAGAUCUGCCCGCUGCUAGAACAUCCGUUUGGGGACAUCGGCCGCCUCCUGGUUCCUGACUGGGGAUAUUAACCCACUGAAAUUGUGGACUGGAUAGCCAAGGACGGUCUGGAUGAGAUCUGGACCUAGCACGUAGGCAUCGGCAGCACGUGGCGGCGACUUCAUAGACUUGCUGGUGUUUGGGGCGAGUAUUGCUAUUGGUUGUAUGGUAUGUGGCUCACCAUUUUCCUUUUUUUAUAUCAUCAUUCAAGUCAGUUUAUGUACUAUCACGGUAAAAGAAUUGAGUAGAUAUUUCAGAGACUUGCUAUGCAGAGAUAGUAAGAUUUUUCGGAGACUUUGGAGACUUGCUGGUGUUUGGGGCGAGUAUAGCUAUUGGUUGUCUAUUAUUAAUUUGUAAUUUCUAGAAAUUUUUAUUUAAUUAAGUAGUUAACGUAGGUUACAGAUCAAACGGUUAGCAGACGGUAGUUUGCGGUCGUCAAACCAGGUUUUCUUGUUCUUUAUUAAGCUCACCAUUUUCCUUUUUUUGUAUCAUCAUUCAAGUCAGUUUAUGUACUAUCACGGUAAAAGAAUUGAGUAGGAAUUUUGGCAGCAUUCCAUCGCAGAGUGUUCUAGCUUUGCUGCGAAAGCUAGUGGCGCUCAAACGAAUUCACCCUCCGGGCUUUGCACACGACCGCCCGACAUACCCGCUCAAGGGAAACCUUUUUUUUCUCUCUC
Dendroctonus ponderosae (mountain pine beetle) is the source of this 1724-nucleotide long non-coding RNA. RefSeq lists it as uncharacterized. The transcript is spliced from 3 exons. Lineage: Eukaryota; Metazoa; Arthropoda; Insecta; Coleoptera; Curculionidae. The record is from RefSeq and is a predicted model, not a curated record.